UACGUAGGGAGCAAGCGUUGUCCGGAAUCAUUGGGCGUAAAGCGCGCGUAGGUGGCUUCGUAAGUCCGUUGUGAAAGUCAAAGGCUCGACCUUUGAAAGCCGAUGGAUACUGUGAAGCUAGAGUACGGAAGAGGCGAGUGGAAUUCCUGGUGUAGCGGUGGAAUGCGCAGAUAUCAGGAGGAACACCAAUAGCGAAGGCAGCUCGCUGGGACGUUACUGACACUGAGGCGCGAAAGCGUGGGGAGCGAACAGG
This 253-nucleotide ribosomal RNA is filed under the name uncultured bacterium. RNAcentral describes it as "partial 16S ribosomal RNA". It matches the Rfam family "Bacterial small subunit ribosomal RNA", at positions 524 to 776 of the family's 1533-position model. The record is from RNAcentral.